GGAGCCGAAGGGAAACCAAGUCUGAAUAGGGCGAAAGUCAGUGCAGGCAGACCCGAAACCGGGUGAUCUAUCCAUGUCCAGGUUGAAGCGAAAGUAAAAUUUCGUGGAGGACCGAACACACAUCCGUUGAAAAGGGUGGUGAUGAGGUGUGGAUAGGGGAGAAAUUCCAAUCGAACCCGGAGAUAGCUGGUUCUCCUCGAAAUAGCUUUAGGGCUAGCCUCGUAUUAGUCUGCUGGAGGUAGAGCACUGAAUUUCCGCGGGGGCGUCAAAGCCUACCAAAGAAUAUCAAACUCCGAAUGCCAGCCAGAUGAUGUACGGGAGUCAGACCGCACGAGAUAAGUUGGGUGGUCAAAAGGGAAAGAGCCCAGACCUGCAGCUAAGGUCCCAAAGUACGUGUUAAGUGGAAAAGGAUGUGGGAUUUCGAAGACAACUAGGAUGUUGGCUCAGAAGCAGCCACACAUUCAAAGAGUGCGUAAUAGCUCACUAGUCGAGAGGUCCUGCGCCGAAAAUGUCCGGGGCUGAAACACGACACCGAAGCUCAGGGAUGUACGAAAGUACAUCGGUAGAGGAGCAUUCUUAAAGGAACGAAGCAGUACCGAUAAGGAGCUGUGGACUUUUAAGAAGAGAGAAUGCCGGAAUGAGUAGCGAGAUGGAGGUGGGAAUCCUCCAGGCCGAAUAUCUAAGGUUUCCAGGGUAAAGCUGAUCUGCCCUGGGUAAGUCGGGACCUAAGCCAAGGUCGAAAGACGUAGGCGAUGGACAACAGGUUGAGAUUCCUGUACCGCGUAUAAUCAGAACUGUGGGGACACAGAACGGCAGCCAAACCCGGGAAUGAGAAGACCGGGGCAAGCAUAGGAAGAGAUGAGUUGGCAAAUCCGCUCAUCAAUCUGAAGAUGUGAUGCGUACCGAACUAGAGUAGGGAAGUUGGUGAUCCGGGCUGUCAAGAAAAGCCGCUAUUGUGUGAUACGCGCCCGUACCGUAAACCGACACAGGUGGAUGAGGAGAGAAUCCUAAGGCCGGCGGGAGAAGCAUUGUUAAGGAACUCGGCAAAAUGGCCCUGUAACUUCGGGAUAAAGGGUGCCUCUGAAAGGAGGCCGCAGAGAAUAGGCUCAAGCAACUGUUUAGCAAAAACACAGGUCUAUGCAAAACCGAAAGGUGAGGUAUAUGGGCUGACGCCUGCCCGGUGCUGGAAGGUUAAGAGGAGAGGUUAGAGCAAUCGAAGCUUUGAAUUUAAGCCCCAGUAAACGGCGGCCGUAACUAUAACGGUCCUAAGGUAGCGAAAUUCCUUGUCGGGUAAGUUCCGACCCGCACGAAAGGCGUAAUGAUUUGAGCGCUGUCUCGACAAUGCACCCGGUGAAAUUGAAGUACCAGUGAAGAUGCUGGUUACCUGCGCCAGGACGGAAAGACCCCAUGGAGCUUUACUCCAGCUUGAUACUGGGGUUCGGUUAUGCAUGUACAGGAUAGGUGGGAGGCU
This 1471-nucleotide ribosomal RNA is filed under the name Brotaphodocola catenula. RNAcentral describes it as "partial 23S ribosomal RNA". It matches the Rfam family "Bacterial large subunit ribosomal RNA", at positions 662 to 2156 of the family's 2925-position model. The record is from RNAcentral. Lineage: Bacteria; Bacillati; Bacillota; Clostridia; Lachnospirales; Lachnospiraceae.